AGAGCGAACGCUGGCGGCAGGCUUAACACAUGCAAGUCGAGCGCCCCGCAAGGGGAGCGGCAGACGGGAGAGUAACACGUGGGAACGUACCUUUCGGUUCGGAACAACCCAGGGAAACUUGGGCUAAUACCGGAUACGUCCGUAAGGAGAAAGAUUUAUCGCCGAAAAGAUCGGCCCGCGUCUGAUUAGCUAGUUGGUGAGGUAACGGCUCACCAAGGCGACGAUCAGUAGCUGGUCUGAGAGGAUGAUCAGCCUCACUGGGACUGAGACACGGCCCAGACUCCUACGGGAGGCAGCAGUGGGGAAUAUUGGACAAUGGGCGCAAGCCUGAUCCAGCCAUGCCGCGUGGGUGAUGAAGGCCCUAGGGUUGUAAAAGCCCUUUCGGCGGGAAGAUAAUGACGGUACCCGCAGAAGAAGCCCCGGCUAACUUCGCGCCAGCAGCCGC
This 445-nucleotide ribosomal RNA is filed under the name uncultured bacterium. RNAcentral's name for it is "SSU rRNA". It matches the Rfam family "Bacterial small subunit ribosomal RNA", at positions 26 to 518 of the family's 1533-position model. The record is from RNAcentral.